GAUGAACGCUGGCGGCGUGCCUAAUACAUGCAAGUCGAGCGAAUGGAUUAAGAGCUCGCUCUUAUGAAGUUAGCGGCGGACGGGUGAGUAACACGUGAGUAACCUGCCCAUAAGACUGGGAUAACUCCGGGAAACCGGGGCUAAUACCGGAUAACAUUUUGAACCGCAUGGUUCGAAAUUGAAAGGCGGCUUCGGCUGUCACUUAUGGAUCGACCCGCGUCGCAUUAGCUAGUUGGUGAGGUAACGUCUCGCCAAGGCAACGAUGCGUAGCCGAACUGAGAGGGUGAUCGGCCACACUGGGACUGGGAAACGGCCCAGACGCCUACGGGAGGCAGCAGUAGGGAAUCUUCCGCAAUGGACGAAAGUCUGACGGAGCAACGCCGCGUGAGUGAUGAAGGCUUUCGGGUCGUAAAACUCUGUUGUUAGGGAAGAACAAGUGCUAGUUGAAUAAGCUGGCACCUUGACGGUACCUAACCAGAAAGCCACGGCUAACUUCGUGCCAGCAGCCGCGGUAA
Molecule: ribosomal RNA, 515 nt
Filed under: uncultured bacterium
Lineage: Bacteria
Description: partial 16S ribosomal RNA
Rfam family: Bacterial small subunit ribosomal RNA
Source: RNAcentral